GGUUCCAUGGUCUAGGGGUUAUGACGCAGGUCUUUGGAUCCUGCAGCCCGGGUUCGAGUCCCGGUGGAACCU
Transfer RNA from Vavraia culicis subsp. floridensis, 72 nucleotides. It matches the Rfam family "tRNA". From Rfam's summary of the family: Transfer RNA (tRNA) molecules are approximately 80 nucleotides in length. Their secondary structure includes four short double-helical elements and three loops (D, anti-codon, and T loops). Lineage: Eukaryota; Fungi; Microsporidia; Pleistophoridae. The record is from Rfam.